This is an RNA transcript of Phoenix dactylifera (date palm), 1382 nucleotides long. It is a transcript of the gene named Rieske (2Fe-2S) domain-containing protein, with no coding region annotated. The record is from RefSeq and is a predicted model, not a curated record. Lineage: Eukaryota; Viridiplantae; Streptophyta; Magnoliopsida; Arecales; Arecaceae.
UUCUUUAUCCUCAUCUUAUGGCUAUGGAAGCCCGUCGAUCCUCUCACUUUCUCUCUCUCCCUCUUCCUUAGGGUUAGGAUUUCUCUCUCCUCCAUGGCGACGGCAUCCAAGGUGUCCUUCGUCGCCGCCGCCGUGCUCUUCUCGGCCUCCCCUCGUCCCCACCACCACCCGUCCAUCAACCUCCAGAAGCUCCACCACUUCCCUCCUCGUCGGCCCAUCGUAAGCACUCUCCAGAGGAUCGCUUGCAAGGCAACAGAGGUCUCGAAGGUCGAGGAAGGAGAGCCGGAAGUGGUUCCGAAAGGAGGGGAUGAUGGGGAGACUUGGGUUCCAGUGGUCCCAUUGGCGACGCUGCCCAAGGGGGAGCGGCGGGUGAUCAUACAGGAUGGAGAAACUAUCUUGCUUCUCUGGUACAAAGAUGAGAUCUUUGCGAUCGAGAACCGGUCCCCUGCCGAGGGGGCUUACAGCGAAGGCCUUUUGAACGCCAAGCUCACUCAGGAUGGUUGUAUUGUUUGCCCAACGACAGAUAGCAUAUUUGAUCUUCGAACUGGAGCGAUAAAGGAUUGGUACCCGAAAAACCCUGUUCUGAGGGCUCUAACUCCAGCUUUGAGGACACUCCUUGUGUACCCUGCGAAAACAGAUGGGGAGAACAUAUAUAUCAGCAUGAAAGGUGUCCAAGCUGGAGGUUCGGCAGAAAUUGUUUUCAGCGGCAAAGCUAAUCCUGGUUUGACUGCAUCUGAUGUCAAUGUGGAAGAGGUGAGAAUGGUAGUUGAUGAGGAUCUUGAAGGUUUUGGUUUCACAGGAAAGAAUGAAUUGAUAAAUGGGAAAGCAGCUACAAUUGGCUUUCUACUAUUAAUAGAUUUUGAGCUCUUAACUGGUAAAGGUCUCCUUAAGGGGACAGGUUUCUUGGACUUCAUUUAUGCAGCUUCAAGGGCUUUCAGCUCUUCAUAAACAUUCUUAAUAAUUCCUCCUGAAGGUGCUACAAACUUAAGGUUUUUAUGAGUUCAGAAGAGAAACAUCAAGUAUGAAAACAGAUCAAUCAAGGGACAUGCAUCUCUCAAAGCCCAGUCUGGCUUAAACUUCUUAUCUCCAGUGUUCAUGUAGAAGUAGGUCAGAUUUUGAUUUCUCUUUGUAAGAUACCUGCCACAUUCCUGUUACAUCAAUACAAUAUGCCGAUUGUGCAUUUCUUUGUAAGAUUUCCUCGCAGAAGUUCCUGACAAGCAGUCCCUUUCCUAAGUCGCAUGCAUGGUGAGCCUAGCAAUUAGAAGUUCAAGAUAGUAUCAUAUUUUUCAGGGAUUUGCAAAUGGACCUUGACUCUUGAUCAACCUAUCAUUCUGCUGAGCUUCGUCUCCAUCUGUUAAUUAUAUUUAGCACAAUUAAAUGCA